UGACCUCAGAUCAGGUAGGGCUACCACCUGA
RNAcentral lists this ribosomal RNA (31 nucleotides) under uncultured fungus. RNAcentral describes it as "partial 28S ribosomal RNA". Lineage: Eukaryota; Fungi. The record is from RNAcentral.